UAAUAUGGUAUUUGUGAUCCUAUUUUUCCCUUGACCUCCCCUAAUAGUGGGGCUUGGUGGCAUGAUGACUCUCUAUGCCCUGCUUCAUUCCCUGGGUUCUUUCUUCAAGAAAUCUGCCUGAGAAGAAGAGCAGCCUGGCCAGAAACUGACCAUAUGGAGAAGCCAAAAGAGGGAUCUCCAUUCAGUGUCACAUACUCUGGAAGGUGAACCCUUUGUGAAGUCCAUCCCACCUCUGAGGAUAUUAUCAACACUUACAGCUGUCAGAUGCAUUUGUCUUUGUGUCCUUCAAUCCCCCUCCCAAUCUGGAAUGAACUACUCUGAAGACAAAUACCGCAUCAUUAGUGCUCGUAAAAUAAUAAAUGAUUGCUGGAUUUAAUUUAA
This is a long non-coding RNA of Neofelis nebulosa (Clouded leopard), 381 nucleotides long. RefSeq lists it as uncharacterized. Lineage: Eukaryota; Metazoa; Chordata; Mammalia; Carnivora; Felidae. The record is from RefSeq and is a predicted model, not a curated record. The transcript is spliced from 2 exons.